GAUGAACGCUGGCGGCGUGCCUAAUACAUGCAAGUCGAGCGAACAGACGAGGAGCUUGCUCCUCUGACGUUAGCGGCGGACGGGUGAGUAACACGUGGAUAACCUACCUAUAAGACUGGGAUAACUUCGGGAAACCGGAGCUAAUACCGGAUAAUAUAUUGAACCGCAUGGUUCAAUAGUGAAAGACGGUUUUGCUGUCACUUAUAGAUGGAUCCGCGCCGCAUGAGCUAGUUGGUAAGGUAACGGCUUACCAAGGCAACGAUGCGUAGCCGACCUGAGAGAGUGAUCGGCCACACUGGAACUGAGACACGGUCCAGACUCCUACGGGAGGCAGCAGUAGGGAAUCUUCCGCAAUGGGCGAAAGCUUGACGGAGCAACGCCGCGUGAGUGAUGAAGGUCUUCGGAUCGUAAAACUCUGUUAUUAGGGAAGAACAAAUGUGUAAGUAACUAUGCACGUCUUGACGGUACCUAAUCAGAAAGCCACGGCUAACUACGUG
RNAcentral lists this ribosomal RNA (497 nucleotides) under uncultured bacterium. RNAcentral's name for it is "partial 16S ribosomal RNA". It matches the Rfam family "Bacterial small subunit ribosomal RNA", at positions 28 to 507 of the family's 1533-position model. The record is from RNAcentral.